GGGCCCGCACAAGCGGUGGAGCAUGUGGUUUAAUUCGAUGCAACGCGAAAAACCUUACCAGGCCUUGACAUCCAGAGAACUUACCAGAGAUGGUUCGGUGCCUUCGGGAACUCUGUGACAGGUGUUGCAUGGCUGUCGUCAGCUCGUGUCGUGAGAUGUUGGGUUAAGUCCCGUAACGAGCGCAACCCUUAUCCUUAUUUGCCAGCACGUAAUGGUGGGAACUUUAAGGAGACUGCCGGUGACAAACCGGAGGAAGGAGAGGAUGAUGUCAAGUCAUCAUGGCCCUUACGGCCUGGGCUACACACGUGCUACAAUGGGAAGUACAAAGGGUCGCAAUGCCGCGAGGUGGAGCAAA
This 355-nucleotide ribosomal RNA is filed under the name uncultured bacterium. RNAcentral's name for it is "bacterial SSU rRNA". It matches the Rfam family "Bacterial small subunit ribosomal RNA", at positions 917 to 1271 of the family's 1533-position model. The record is from RNAcentral.